CAGUCGCCGCGGGAAUACGGAGGGUGCAAGCGUUAUCCGGAUUUAUUGGGUUUAAAGGGUCCGUAGGCGGACUUAUAAGUAAGUGGUGAAAGCCUGUCGCUUAACGAUAGAACUGCCAUUGAUACUGUAAGUCUUGAGUAUAUUUGAGGUAGCUGGAAUAAGUAGUGUAGCGGUGAAAUGCAUAGAUAUUACUUAGAACACCAAUUGCGAAGGCAGGUUACCAAGAUAUAACUGACGCUGAGGGACGAAAGCGUGGGUAGCGAACAGGAUUAGAUACCCCUGUAGUCCCUGUCUCUUAUAC
RNAcentral lists this ribosomal RNA (301 nucleotides) under uncultured bacterium. Its description in RNAcentral is "partial 16S ribosomal RNA". It matches the Rfam family "Bacterial small subunit ribosomal RNA", at positions 509 to 807 of the family's 1533-position model. The record is from RNAcentral.